Amaranthus tricolor (Joseph's coat) is the source of this 85-nucleotide small nucleolar RNA. NCBI's taxonomy places the organism in Eukaryota, Viridiplantae, Streptophyta, Magnoliopsida, Caryophyllales, Amaranthaceae. The record is from RefSeq and is a predicted model, not a curated record.
UGGCGAUGAUUACAUACUUAUCCGCGCUUCUGAGUUUUAUGUAUGAAGUAAUGGAUAUAAUGGUUGAAUUUCUUGAUAUGAGCCU